RNAcentral lists this transfer RNA (68 nucleotides) under Heterocephalus glaber (naked mole-rat). It matches the Rfam family "tRNA". From Rfam's summary of the family: Transfer RNA (tRNA) molecules are approximately 80 nucleotides in length. Their secondary structure includes four short double-helical elements and three loops (D, anti-codon, and T loops). The record is from Rfam by way of RNAcentral. Lineage: Eukaryota; Metazoa; Chordata; Mammalia; Rodentia; Bathyergidae.
GGGGAUGGAGCUCAGUGGCAGAGCAUUGCCUGGAAUGCACAUGGCCCUAGGUUCAAUCCCCAGCCCCA